AGAACGAACGCUGGCGGCAUGCCUAACACAUGCAAGUCGAACGAGACCUUCGGGUCUAGUGGCGCACGGGUGCGUAACGCGUGGGAAUCUGCCCUUAGGUACGGAAUAACAGUGAGAAAUUACUGCUAAUACCGUAUGAUGUCUUCGGACCAAAGAUUUAUCGCCUAGGGAUGAGCCCGCGUUGGAUUAGCUAGUUGGUGGGGUAAAGGCCUACCAAGGCGACGAUCCAUAGCUGGUCUGAGAGGAUGAUCAGCCACACUGGGACUGAGACACGGCCCAGACUCCUACGGGAGGCAGCAGUGGGGAAUAUUGGACAAUGGGCGAAAGCCUGAUCCAGCAAUGCCGCGUGAGUGAAGAAGGCCUUCGGUUGUAAAGCUCUUUCGACGGGACGAUAAUGACGGUACCCGUAGAAGAAGCUCCGGCUAACUUCGCGUCAGCAGCCGC
This 444-nucleotide ribosomal RNA is filed under the name uncultured bacterium. RNAcentral describes it as "SSU rRNA". It matches the Rfam family "Bacterial small subunit ribosomal RNA", at positions 26 to 518 of the family's 1533-position model. The record is from RNAcentral.